GCUGGGUGCGGUGGCACAUGCCUGUAAUUCUAGCAGCUUGGGAGGCUGAGGCAGGAGGAUUGCAAGUUCAAACCAACCUCAGCAACUUAGCAAGGCCCUAAGCAACUUAGCAAGACCCUGUCUCAA
This 126-nucleotide small RNA is filed under the name Marmota monax (woodchuck). The record is from RNAcentral. Lineage: Eukaryota; Metazoa; Chordata; Mammalia; Rodentia; Sciuridae.